GUGAGGAAUAUUGGUCAAUGGACGAGAGUCUGAACCAGCCAAGUAGCGUGAAGGAUGACUGCCCUAUGGGUUGUAAACUUCUUUUAUAUGGGAAUAAAGUGAGCCACGUGUGGCUUUUUGUAUGUACCAUACGAAUAAGGAUCGGCUAACUCCGUGCCAGCAGCCGCGGUAAUACGGAGGAUCCGAGCGUUAUCCGGAUUUAUUGGGUUUAAAGGGAGCGUAGGCGGACUAUUAAGUCAGCUGUGAAAGUUUGCGGCUCAACCGUAAAAUUGCAGUUGAUACUGGUCGUCUUGAGUGCAGUAGAGGUAGGCGGAAUUCGUGGUGUAGCGGUGAAAUGCUUAGAUAUCACGAAGAACUCCGAUUGCGAAGGCAGCUUACUGGACUGUAACUGACGCUGAUGCUCGAAAGUGUGGGUAUCAAACAGGAUUAGAAACCCUAGUAGUCC
This 445-nucleotide ribosomal RNA is filed under the name uncultured bacterium. RNAcentral describes it as "bacterial SSU rRNA". It matches the Rfam family "Bacterial small subunit ribosomal RNA", at positions 354 to 796 of the family's 1533-position model. The record is from RNAcentral.